RNAcentral lists this ribosomal RNA (253 nucleotides) under uncultured bacterium. Its description in RNAcentral is "partial 16S ribosomal RNA". It matches the Rfam family "Bacterial small subunit ribosomal RNA", at positions 524 to 776 of the family's 1533-position model. The record is from RNAcentral.
UACAGAGGGUGCAAGCGUUAAUCGGAAUUACUGGGCGUAAAGGGUGCGUAGGCGGUCGAGUAAGUCUGAUGUGAAAUCCCCGAGCUUAACUUGGGAACUGCAUCAGAUACUGUUCAACUAGAGUAGGGUAGAGGAAAGCGGAAUGCCAGGUGUAGCGGUGAAAUGCGUAGAUAUCUGGCGGAACACCGGUGGCGAAGGCGGCUUUCUGGACUCAUACUGACGCUCAGGCACGAAAGCGUGGGGAGCAAACAGG